GGAUAAGCGUUGGAAACGACGUCUAAUACUGGAUAUGAUCACUGGUCGCAUGGCCUGGUGGUGGAAAGAUUUUUUGGUUGGGGAUGGACUCGCGGCCUAUCAGCUUGUUGGUGAGGUAAUGGCUCACCAAGGCGACGACGGGUAGCCGGCCUGAGAGGGUGACCGGCCACACUGGGACUGAGACACGGCCCAGACUCCUACGGGAGGCAGCAGUGGGGAAUAUUGCACAAUGGGCGAAAGCCUGAUGCAGCAACGCCGCGUGAGGGAUGACGGCCUUCGGGUUGUAAACCUCUUUUAGUAGGGAAGAAGGGAGCUUCGGUUCUUGACGGUACCUGCAGAAAAAGCACCGGCUAACUACGUGCCAGCAGCCGCGGUAAUACGUAGGGUGCAAGCGUUGUCCGGAAUUAUUGGGCGUAAAGAGCUCGUAGGCGGUUUGUCGCGUCUGCUGUGAAAUCCCGAGGCUCAACCUCGGGCUUGCAGUGGGUACGGGCAGACUAGAG
Molecule: ribosomal RNA, 500 nt
Filed under: Curtobacterium sp. KBC-JULY-E-4
Lineage: Bacteria; Bacillati; Actinomycetota; Actinomycetes; Micrococcales; Microbacteriaceae
Description: bacterial SSU rRNA
Rfam family: Bacterial small subunit ribosomal RNA
Source: RNAcentral